RNAcentral lists this ribosomal RNA (761 nucleotides) under uncultured bacterium. RNAcentral's name for it is "bacterial SSU rRNA". It matches the Rfam family "Bacterial small subunit ribosomal RNA", at positions 667 to 1429 of the family's 1533-position model. The record is from RNAcentral.
UNCCACGUGUAGCAGUGAAAUGCGUAGAGAUGUGGAGGAAUACCGAUGGCGAAGGCAGCCCCCUGGGAUAAUACUGACGUUCAUGCUCGAAAGCGUGGGUAGCUAACAGGAUUAGAUACCCUGGUAGUNCACGCCCUAAACGAUGUCAAUUAGCUGUUGGGCAACAUGAUUGCUUAGUAGCGUAGCUAACGCGUGAAAUUGACCGCCUGGGGAGUACGGUCGCAAGAUUAAAACUCAAAGGAAUUGACGGGGACCCGCACAAGCGGUGGAUGAUGUGGAUUAAUUCGAUGCAACGCGAAGAACCUUACCUGGUCUUGACAUGUACGGAAUCUUCCAGAGACGGAAGAGUGCCUUCGGGAGCCGUAACACAGGUGCUGCAUGGCUGUCGUCAGCUCGUGUCGUGAGAUGUUGGGUUAAGUCCCGCAACGAGCGCAACCCUUGUCAUUAGUUGCCACCAUUCAGUUGGGCACUCUAAUGAGACUGCCGGUGACAAACCGGAGGAAGGUGGGGAUGACGUCAAGUCCUCAUGGCCCUUAUGACCAGGGCUUCACACGUCAUACAAUGGUCGGUACAGAGGGUAGCCAAGCCGCGAGGUGGAGCCAAUCUCAGAAAACCGAUCGUAGUCCGGAUUGCACUCUGCAACUCGAGUGCAUGAAGUCGGAAUCGCUAGUAAUCGCAGGUCAGCAUACUGCGGUGAAUACGUUCCCGGGUCUUGUACACACCGCCCGUCACACCAUGGGAGUGGGGGAUACCAGAAGUAG